This 497-nucleotide ribosomal RNA is filed under the name uncultured bacterium. Its description in RNAcentral is "partial 16S ribosomal RNA". It matches the Rfam family "Bacterial small subunit ribosomal RNA", at positions 28 to 507 of the family's 1533-position model. The record is from RNAcentral.
GAUGAACGCUGGCGGCGUGCCUAAUACAUGCAAGUUGAGCGAACAGACGAGGAGCUUGCUCCUCUGACGUUAGCGGCGGACGGGUGAGUAACACGUGGAUAACCUACCUAUAAGACUGGGAUAACUUCGGGAAACCGGAGCUAAUACCGGAUAAUAUAUUGAACCGCAUGGUUCAAUAGUGAAAGACGGUUUUGCUGUCACUUAUAGAUGGAUCCGCGCCGCAUUAGCUAGUUGUUAAGGUAACGGCUUACCAAGGCAACGAUGCGUAGCCGACCUGAGAGGGUGAUCGGCCACACUGGAACUGAGACACGGUCCAGACUCCUACGGGAGGCAGCAGUAGGGAAUCUUCCGCAAUGGGCGAAAGCCUGACGGAGCAACGCCGCGUGAGUGAUGAAGGUCUUCGGAUCGUAAAACUCUGUUAUUAGGGAAGAACAAAUGUGUAAGUAACUAUGCACGUCUUGACGGUACCUAAUCAGAAAGCCACGGCUAACUACGUG